RNAcentral lists this ribosomal RNA (223 nucleotides) under Salmonella enterica. RNAcentral describes it as "partial 23S ribosomal RNA". It matches the Rfam family "Bacterial large subunit ribosomal RNA", at positions 1668 to 1873 of the family's 2925-position model. Lineage: Bacteria; Pseudomonadati; Pseudomonadota; Gammaproteobacteria; Enterobacterales; Enterobacteriaceae. The record is from RNAcentral.
CAGGUAGAGAAUACCAAGGCGCUUGAGAGAACUCGGGUGAAGGAACUAGGCAAAAUGGUGCCGUAACUUCGGGAGAAGGCACGCUGACACGUAGGUGAAGUGAUUUACUCAUGGAGCUGAAGUCAGUCGAAGAUACCAGCUGGCUGCAACUGUUUAUUAAAAACACAGCACUGUGCAAACACGAAAGUGGACGUAUACGGUGUGACGCCUGCCCGGUGCCGGA